GUGAAAUUGGUAGACACGCUGCUCUAGAGCAUCUCGGUUCGAGUCCGAGUAGCGGCA
This 57-nucleotide transfer RNA is filed under the name Stewartia ovata. RNAcentral's name for it is "tRNA-Leu". The record is from RNAcentral. Lineage: Eukaryota; Viridiplantae; Streptophyta; Magnoliopsida; Ericales; Theaceae.